UAAGUCUGAUGUGAAAGCCCUCGGCUUAACCGAGGAACUGCAUCGGAAACUGUUUUUCUUGAGUGCAGAAGAGGAGAGUGGAACUCCAUGUGUAGCGGUGGAAUGCGUAGAUAUAUGGAAGAACACCAGUGGCGAAGGCGGCUCUCUGGUCUGCAACUGACGCUGAGGCUCGAAAGCAUGGGUAGCGAACAGGAUUAGAUACCCUGGUAGUCCAUGCCGUAAACGAUGAGUGCUAAGUGUUGGGAGGUUUCCGCCUCUCAGUGCUGCAGCUAACGCAUUAAGCACUCCGCCUGGGGAGUACGACCGCAAGGUUGAAACUCAAAGGAAUUGACGGGGGCCCGCACAAGCGGUGGAGCAUGUGGUUUAAUUCGAAGCAACGCGAAGAACCUUACCAGGUCUUGACAUCUAGUGCCAUCCUAAGAGAUUAGGAGUUCCCUUCGGGG
RNAcentral lists this ribosomal RNA (443 nucleotides) under Lactobacillus gallinarum. RNAcentral's name for it is "bacterial SSU rRNA". It matches the Rfam family "Bacterial small subunit ribosomal RNA", at positions 584 to 1025 of the family's 1533-position model. The record is from RNAcentral. Lineage: Bacteria; Bacillati; Bacillota; Bacilli; Lactobacillales; Lactobacillaceae.